Molecule: non-coding RNA, 73 nt
Organism: Mesitornis unicolor (brown roatelo)
Lineage: Eukaryota; Metazoa; Chordata; Aves; Mesitornithiformes; Mesitornithidae
Source: Rfam
GCCUGGCCUGCUCAGUCGGUAGAGCAUGAGACUCCUAAUCUCAAGGUCAUGGGUUCGUGUCCCAUGUUGGGCG